CCUACGGGGGGCAGCAGUGGGGAAUAUUGCACAAUGGGGGAAACCCUGAUGCAGCAACGCCGCGUGAAUGAUGAAGGCCUUCGGGUCGUAAAGUUCUUUGAUUGGGGACGAUAAUGACGGUACCCAAAAAACAAGCCACGGCUAACUACGUGCCAGCAGCCGCGGUAAUACGUAGGUGGCGAGCGUUGUCCGGAUUUACUGGGCGUAAAGGAUGCGUAGGUGGAAACUUAAGUGGGAUGUGAAAUCCCCGGGCUCAACCCGGGAACUGCAUUCCAAACUGGGUUACUUGAGUGCAGGAGAGGAAAGCGGAAUUCCUAGUGUAGCGGUGAAAUGCGUAGAUAUUAGGAAGAACACCAGUGGCGAAGGCGGCUUUCUGGACUGUAACUGACACUGAGGCAUGAAAGCGUGGGGAGCAAACAGGAUUAGAUACCCUUGUAGUC
This 440-nucleotide ribosomal RNA is filed under the name uncultured Proteiniclasticum sp. RNAcentral describes it as "bacterial SSU rRNA". It matches the Rfam family "Bacterial small subunit ribosomal RNA", at positions 338 to 795 of the family's 1533-position model. Lineage: Bacteria; Bacillati; Bacillota; Clostridia; Eubacteriales; Clostridiaceae. The record is from RNAcentral.